RNAcentral lists this ribosomal RNA (478 nucleotides) under uncultured bacterium. RNAcentral describes it as "partial 16S ribosomal RNA". It matches the Rfam family "Bacterial small subunit ribosomal RNA", at positions 28 to 523 of the family's 1533-position model. The record is from RNAcentral.
GACGAACGCUGGCGGCGUGCUUAACACAUGCAAGUCGAACGGUAAGGCCCUUCGGGGUACACGAGUGGCGAACGGGUGAGUAACACGUGGGUGAUCUGCCCUGCACUUCGGGAUAAGCCCGGGAAACUGGGUCUAAUACCGGAUAGGACCACUGCCUGCAGGGGUGGUGGGGGAAAGCUUUUGCGGUGUGGGAUGGGCCCGCGGCCUAUCAGCUUGGUGGUGGGGUGAUGGCCUACCAAGGCGACGACGGGUAGCCGGCCUGAGAGGGUGGACGGCCACACUGGGACUGAGAUACGGCCCAGACUCCUACGGGAGGCAGCAGUGGGGAAUAUUGCACAAUGGGCGCAAGCCUGAUGCAGCGACGCCGCGUGAGGGAUGACGGCCUUCGGGUUGUAAACCUCUUUCAGCACCGACGAAGCGCAAGUGACGGUAGGUGCAGAAGAAGGACCGGCCAACUACGUGCCAGCCGCCGCGGUAA